UACGGGGGGGGCAAGCGUUGUUCGGAAUUACUGGGCGUAAAGGGCUCGUAGGCGGCCAACUAAGUCGGAUGUGAAAUCCCCAGGCUUAACCUGGGAACUGCAUCUGAUACUGGAUGGCUUGAUUCCGGGAGAGGGAUGCAGAAUUCCAGGUGUAGCGGUGAAAUGCGUAGAUAUCUGGAGGAAUACCGGUGGCGAAGGCGGCAUCCUGGACCGGCAUUGACGCUGAUGAGCGAAAGCUAGGGGAGCAAACGGG
This 253-nucleotide ribosomal RNA is filed under the name uncultured bacterium. RNAcentral's name for it is "partial 16S ribosomal RNA". It matches the Rfam family "Bacterial small subunit ribosomal RNA", at positions 524 to 776 of the family's 1533-position model. The record is from RNAcentral.